RNAcentral lists this unclassified non-coding RNA (257 nucleotides) under Cephaliophora tropica. Its description in RNAcentral is "partial internal transcribed spacer region". The stretch from base 1 to 46 matches the Rfam family "Eukaryotic small subunit ribosomal RNA", at positions 1786 to 1831 of the family's 1831-position model. The record is from RNAcentral. Lineage: Eukaryota; Fungi; Ascomycota; Pezizomycetes; Pezizales; Ascodesmidaceae.
AAGUCGUAACAAGGUUUCCGUAGGUGAACCUGCGGAAGGAUCAUUACAGUAUAUCGGAUUCACAUUCGUAUACCCCACCCUGCGUACCCGACAACCGUUGCUUCCGCGGGACCUGGCUCCGCCACGUCGGCCCCCCCCCCCUCCGGGCUGGUGAGCUCCCGCGGGAGGAAAAGCAAUACUCCUUUUUGUCAGUGAAUGUCUGUAUGAACAGUUUGUAAUAAACGUUAAAACUUUCAACAACGGAUCUCUUGGUUCUC